GACAACAAUUGGAAACGAUUGCUAAUACCGGAUAUGCCUACGGGUAAAAGGCUUGCUGCCUGAAGAAGAGCUUGCGUCCGAUUAGCUAGUUGGUGGGGUAAAGGCUUACCAAGGCGGAGAUCGGUAGCUGGUCUGAGAGGAUGACCAGCCACACUGGGACUGAGACAAGGCCCAGACUCCUACGGGAGGCAGCAGUGGGGAAUUUUCCGCAAUGGGCGAAAGCCUGACGGAGCAAUACCGCGUGAGGGAAGAAGGCUCUUGGGUUGUAAACCUCUUUUCUCAGGGAAUAAAAAAAUGAAGGUACCUGAGGAAUAAGCAUCGGCUAACUCCGUGCCAGCACGCCGCGGUAAUACGGAGGAUGC
This 362-nucleotide ribosomal RNA is filed under the name uncultured cyanobacterium. Its description in RNAcentral is "bacterial SSU rRNA". It matches the Rfam family "Bacterial small subunit ribosomal RNA", at positions 142 to 535 of the family's 1533-position model. The record is from RNAcentral. Lineage: Bacteria; Bacillati; Cyanobacteriota.